CUAAAUUUCAUAAUUUUUCGAUAUCAUUUACCUAUCAAACAAAUAGUUUAAAAUUGAACGGCUGAAAAUAAAAAUCUCAUAAAAAAUGAUGAUAAAAGAUUUAAAUUCAAAAUCAGAUAUACUGAUCUUACUCUAAAUAAUGAAAAGAAUUUUCUAUAAAAUUUUCAUCGGAUUUGGAUUGUUUUACACCGUUAAACUCACAAACACGCCACAUCGGCCAUUAAAAUGGUCAACUUUGAGAUCUUUUGAUCACUAGUCAAAUAAUGUCGAAAAAUUAUGAAAUUUAGUUUGCAAAUACUUUUUAUAGUGUAGAUCAAGUCUAACGGAGCCGAUCGUCGAUUUGGAAGCCGCAUCAUUGAAAACAACUUGGUAGCAUGGGAGGCCCCGUGCUACCGAUAGUAUAGAUUAUUUUUAGAGACGGAGUUGGUGGAAAAAAAAAAAUUAACGUUAACAUAUUACGGGAAUAAGUUCUUACUAUUCGAAAAUUUUCAUAGUGGGGAACCACGAAGAUUUUCAUAAGAUGGAAUAAAUAUAUAUAUAUAUAUAUAUAUAUUAUUUGGUGGUGGUAGAGUUGGGAUGAAGAAAGGUAAGUUACCGAUUUUUGAGUUUUUAUGGUGGGGAACCACGAAAACUCCCAUAAGAUCGAGUUGAUAUAUAUAUAUAUAUAUAUAUAUAUAUAUCUCUCUCUCUCUCUCUCUCUCUCUCUCUCUCUCUCUCUCUCUCUCAGGCCGAUGAUAUGAAAAUACUCGUAAACGAGAGAAUAUGAGUAUUCAAAAGACGAGAAUCUAAAUAAAGUAACUAGUAAACGUAGGCAAUAUAGUAUGAUAAGUUGGUUGAUGGGUGAGUUGGGAUCCCCUGAUGAUAGUAAGUUUCAACCCUGGUGGCAAUACGAUUGGUGUGUAGGGUAGUUAGUUACUAAUUUUUAAAUACUCAUGUUUCCCAAGAUAUGAGUAUUCUCAUAUCAUCGGGGUCGGAGAAAUAUGAAAUAAAAAGUGAAAUCAGAGGUUAUAUAUAUAUAUAUAUUAAAACUCAAACUUAGAUUUGAAAUAGAAUUUUAAUAGUAGGGAACUACGAAAAUCCAAACGUCAUCAAUCCUUAGAUGAGGAACUAAUGAUUACCAUCGGUAACCUAAUAUGUGAUAACAUGAAUACGGAAGGACGGUGGUAGCGCGCCCAGGAAUAGAUCAUAUAAAGAGCUCUCUCUCUCUCUCUCUCAGGCUGACCAAUUUAUGAUGACUAUCGUGGUGCACGAACCACGAAAACACUCAAAAGAUCGAGCUGAAACAUAAAUAUAGAAAAAUGACUACACCCGAAAUGAGCCCAAUCCAAACAAUAACCAAAUUAUUGAGUGAGUUAGAAUCCCCACGGUGUAGUAGAAUUCCCAUAUAAAAAAAUAAAUUCCCGCCUUUUAAACUAUCGUGAUUAGCGAACUAUGAUAACUAUCAUAAGGUCGGAUAGAUAUAUAUAUAUAUAUAUAUACAUCUCAGGCCGACNAUCAUUCUUGAAUAAGGGCAUUAUAAAAUUGCAAUUAAAAAAAAAGGUGGUUGAGGCAGCAUUUCUUUUAUAUAUAUAUAUAUAUAUAUAUAUAUAUAUAUAUAUAUAUAUAUACACACACACACACACACAUGUAUCCCACACUACACACUCUAUUGCCCCAGUACUGCUGUUCUUACUCCAAGCUUAUCAACAGCAGGGGCAAUGGAAACACUCCCCUACUACUUGACCUCCAUCACAAUUGCCAUCCUACUCACACUCAUCAUCAACCUCUUCUUCUCUGCAAUAAACAAUAGAAGCAAUAUUGAAAGCAAGAAGCUUCCGCCGAGCCCGCCGUCGCUGCCGAUCGUCGGCCACCUGCACCUGCUGAAGCGCCCGCUCCACCGCGGCCUCGCGGCGAUCACCGACCACCACGGCCCCGUCCUCCUCCUCCGCCUCGGCUCCCGCCCGGUGCUCGUGGUCGCGUCGCGCGGCGCGGCGGAGCAGUGCUUCAGCGCCGCGAACGACGUGGCCUUCGCGAACCGGCCACUGCUCCCGUCGAUGAAGUACCUCACCCACGACUACACCACGCUGGCGUUCGCCAACUACGGGCCCCUGUGGCGCAACCUGCGCCGCAUCGCCACCGCCGAGGUGCUCUCGACGCACCGCCUCACCGCGUGCGCCGCGUUCCGCACCGAGGAGGUGCGGGGAAUUGCCCGGAGGAUCUUCUCCGAUUGGAACGCGAACAAGGUACGUACGUACGCACCUGCCUAGCUAGCUACGUGCGUUUUUUUCUUUUAUUACGUACUUUGCUCUUGGAUGCGCGCAUGGUGCACGGUUUGUUGGUUUAAUUAGUUUUCUAUAAGAAUUAAUUAAUUCGUAAGUGUAAGAAUUUUACUGCUUUUUUUGAUAACAGGUCCCAAUUAUUUAUAGAAAACUAAUGUAGACUUUUCAGAAAAACAAAAUAUUACACUUAAUUUGAACUAUAAUAAGAUAGAAAAUAAUAUAUAUGCUAAAUAACAAGGGGAUUUUUUAGAACUUUCCAAUAAAUAGUCACAGAUUUACCGUACGUCAAAAAAUCACUUCAUCUUCUCCGUCUCACCUUCUUGUUAUUGCUAAUCUUCUUUCAUGCAUAUAAUAUAUGCAUAUAUUUGUAAUAUUUAUGCUUAUUGAUCUCUUUUCAAUCCUACUAACUAAUUAUACAUAGGCUAUAUAGUAAUUAUUAACUGUGGAAACAACUAAUUAAUUAUUUUGGAUAUAGAAUGACGAGUCGUCGUCGUUCACCAAGGUGGAGAUGAAGUCGAGGUUGUUCGAUCUAGCACUGAAUGUGAUGAUGAGGAUGAUAGCAGGGCGAAAGUACACCUUCUCACAAGGCGAGGGAGUCGGAGGGUCGGAGGCCGCGAAGCGAUUCAGGGAGAUGGUGGAAGAGACCUUCUUGUUGGCCGAUUCGGCUUCAAACUUAGGAGACUUUCUACCCAUGCUAAGGUGGUUUGAUAUCGGAGGUAGUAUCAAGUGUUUGGUUCUAUCAAGUUUUCCGCCGUUAGAUUUAACCCUUUGAUUAUUUUCACCCGUUAGAUUAUAUUAUUAAACCAAUAACCCACUUAACCCUAUAAAGCCCACAUCAUUAUAUAUAUAUAUAUAUAUAGUUCGGCUAGAAUACUCACAAAAGCACCAAUGAGGUGGUGCUUUUGAGUUUUUAACCAUUGGAUGGAGAAAUGUAAGAUUUUGAGGUGGUAGUUUAUAGUGGAAAGUGUUUGAUCCAAUUAUUAGUAUAAGGAGUAGAUCAGUAUGCAAACCUAAAAGCAUAGGGGUGAUACUUAAGUUCUAUCAAUAUAUAAUAUAAUAUAUAUAUAUAUAUAUAUAUAUAUAGGCUGGGGCUACUAUACUCUUAUGAGUAUAGAACCCUUUGUACUCAUAAAUUUUUAAUCAUUGAUUGAUGGGAUGUGUGGUUAGCAUAACGGUGGUCCCAACUUUGAAUGAUAGUAGUCCCCUAGGGUUGAGUGGGUAGUUGGUUGAAUAGUAUGAUAUAACGGAUGCAAAUGAUCAAUGAAAUAAAUCUAAGAGCAGAAAACUUAUGAGUAUAAGAGAGCAAAUGCUCAUAAAAGUAUAGUAGCCGGACUCUCUCUCUCUCUCUCUCUCUCUCUCUCUCUCUCUCUCUCUCUAUAUAUAUAUAUAUAUAUAUAUAUAUAUAGUUGAGCUAGAAUACCCUCAAAAGCACCAAGGGGUGGUAUUUUUGAGUUUUUAGCCAUUGAAUGGAAAGAAGUAGGGUUGAGAUGGUGGUGGUUUAUUAUAUAUAUAUAUAUAUAUAUAUAAAUAAGGUAGAAUACUUUUAGAAGCACCAAGGGGUGAUACUUUUAAAAGCUUAUCAUUCUUGAAUAAGGGCAUUAUACAAUUGCAAUUAAAAAAAAAAAGGUGGUUGAGGCAGAGAUUUUUAUUAUAAAAGCUUAUCAUUCUUGAAUAAGGGCAUUAUAAAAUUGCAAUUAAAAAAAAAGGUGGUUGAGGCAGCAUUUCUUUUAUAUAUAUAUAUAUAUAUAUAUAUAUAUAUAUAUAUAUAUAUAUACACACACACACACACACAUGUAUCCCACACUACACACUCUAUUGCCCCAGUACUGCUGUUCUUACUCCAAGCUUAUCAACAGCAGGGGCAAUGGAAACACUCCCCUACUACUUGACCUCCAUCACAAUUGCCAUCCUACUCACACUCAUCAUCAACCUCUUCUUCUCUGCAAUAAACAAUAGAAGCAAUAUUGAAAGCAAGAAGCUUCCGCCGAGCCCGCCGUCGCUGCCGAUCGUCGGCCACCUGCACCUGCUGAAGCGCCCGCUCCACCGCGGCCUCGCGGCGAUCACCGACCACCACGGCCCCGUCCUCCUCCUCCGCCUCGGCUCCCGCCCGGUGCUCGUGGUCGCGUCGCGCGGCGCGGCGGAGCAGUGCUUCAGCGCCGCGAACGACGUGGCCUUCGCGAACCGGCCGCGGCUCCCGUCGAUGAAGUACCUCACCCACGACUACACCACGCUGGCGUUCGCCAACUACGGGCCCCUGUGGCGCAACCUGCGCCGCAUCGCCACCGCCGAGGUGCUCUCGACGCACCGCCUCACCGCGUGCGCCGCGUUCCGCACCGAGGAGGUGCGGGGAAUUGCCCGGAGGAUCUUCUCCGAUUGGAACGCGAACAAGGUACGUACGUACGCACCUGCCUAGCUAGCUACGUGCGUUUUUUUCUUUUAUUACGUACUUUGCUCUUGGAUGCGCGCAUGGUGCACGGUUUGUUGGUUUAAUUAGUUUUCUAUAAGAAUUAAUUAAUUCGUAAGUGUAAGAAUUUUACUGCUUUUUUUGAUAACAGGUCCCAAUUAUUUAUAGAAAACUAAUGUAGACUUUUCAGAAAAACAAAAUAUUACACUUAAUUUGAACUAUAAUAAGAUAGAAAAUAAUAUAUAUGCUAAAUAACAAGGGGAUUUUUUAGAACUUUCCAAUAAAUAGUCACAGAUUUACCGUACGUCAAAAAAUCACUUCAUCUUCUCCGUCUCACCUUCUUGUUAUUGCUAAUCUUCUUUCAUGCAUAUAAUAUAUGCAUAUAUUUGUAAUAUUUAUGCUUAUUGAUCUCUUUUCAAUCCUACUAACUAAUUAUACAUAGGCUAUAUAGUAAUUAUUAACUGUGGAAACAACUAAUUAAUUAUUUUGGAUAUAGAAUGACGAGUCGUCGUCGUUCACCAAGGUGGAGAUGAAGUCGAGGUUGUUCGAUCUAGCACUGAAUGUGAUGAUGAGGAUGAUAGCAGGGCGAAAGUACACCUUCUCACAAGGCGAGGGAGUCGGAGGGUCGGAGGCCGCGAAGCGAUUCAGGGAGAUGGUGGAAGAGACCUUCUUGUUGGCCGAUUCGGCUUCAAACUUAGGAGACUUUCUACCCAUGCUAAGGUGGUUUGAUAUCGGAGGGGCCGAGAAAAGGAUGAGGAAAUUGCUGAAGGAGAGAGAAGAGCUGAGCCAGAAGAUUGUCGACGAGAAGAGGAGAGAAAGCGAGGAGGAGAUCAAGAAGGAGCAGACUAUGAUCGGAGAUCUGCUUGAGUCGCAGAAGCAAGAUCCUGAUUUCUAUACCGAUGAAACCAUCAAAGCACUUGCCUUUGUGAGUCUGUCUCUCUUUUCUUUUUUCGUAUGUAUAUUUUUAAAAAAUUAUGAUUAUGUUAAAUUUAACUAUUCUGAAUACUUUAUGUGAAACUGCAAAUUUUACUAACUACAUCACUCAAGUCAGGUACUGACCAAUUAAAUUCUCAAUUAAAGUUUUCUAAAAAUAAGCUAAAGUAACUAAAUAUUAGAAAAAUAUUAGUUAGAAAAAAAUAAAUUUGGACGAUCUUCGGUAAUUAAAUGGGCUGUAGUAGUUGACAGGUCAACAUAAAUUUUAGCUCUGUCACUUUUGGUCCGGCAUAGCCACGUAUGGGAGUGGGAUGGAUAAAGGGCCGAUUAGUUAGAUAUAAUUAUAAAUAUUGUAUAAUUAGAUAUGCAUGGAGUUAAAAAUACAAUAGUUAUAACUAUAUGAAUCCUGUUUGACUGAAUAUAGUAGAAAGCGCUACAAAUAUAAAUAAUUUAUUUGGUUGCAUAUAGUUGAAAAUUAAUUUUUAAAAUUUUAUCAUUUUAUAUAUAUGACGGUGAGAAUACCUUCAAAGUAAAAAAAAAAAAAAAAAUUUAUUUAAAAAAUAUUGAGGGGGUAAGCAUUCUUUUUAUAUAAGGUUACUUUCUCCAACUGCUGCAGUUGGAACUGCGGUCAAUUUGAGCAUAGUUCGAACUGCUGCAUUUGGGCCUCCUCCUGCAUUCCUACUAUAGCAGUUGGAGUUAAAUACAUCAAACCAAAUACGAAAUUUAUAUUUACAUGUAGUUACAACUAUAGUGCAGUUACAACUACAUACAACCAAACAGUCCCUUAAUGAUGUUAUAGUCAUGUGCAUUCAUUUUACCAAUCAAUGUUGUUACUUGGAUGCCCCACAAAAGUUCUUUUCUAAAUUAUUUAUCUAACAAUAAUAUACAUUUAUUUAUCAUAUUAUAUGCAUUAAUAUAUUAGUAAUUUAUAAAAAAAAUGUUUUUACUAUUUACAGCAAUACUCGAAAAAAAAGAAAACUAAAAGAGUAGUAAUUAUAUACCUCCUAAAUAUAGCUCUUACAUAUUAUUAAAUAUGUAUAAUAAUAUUUGUAUACAAUUUAGGACACUAGAGUAUUAACGAUAUAUCAGUCGACUAAGAAUUUAAUGACUCAUAUCAAAAUUUUAAUUUGAAACAGAUAAAAUCUUAUCUUUUUUCAGCAAACUAAUAAGAUAUCUAAAAUAUUUUCGAUGGACGCAGCAUAUACACAUAGCCUAACAUGUGGGCGUUACCUAAACCCGACAAAAGUGGAUUGGUCGCGGCGGGAUCGUCACGUGGUUUCAUACCGUUGCUUUCGUUGCAUCUGAUAAUAAUUAAUAAUAAUAACCACGUUCCUGAUUCCUUAAUUUCUAGUCAAACUCCAUUUGAACACCUCGGAACACUUCUUGUUAGUCCAUACAAAAAUUAUCCUUAUAGUAUAGUUUUUGCUCCUAUUACACCCAACUUAACAAGGCAUGCAUGAAUCAGUAAUUAAUUAUAACCCUUAUAACUGUUGCUUUUUGAAAGAGCUUGUUAUCAGCGGGAACGGAUACGACGUCGAACACCAUCGAGUGGGCCAUGUCGCUCCUCCUCAACAAUCCUGAAGUCCUGAGAAAAGCGGCGACGGAGAUCGACGUUCGUGUGGGCACCGAUCGCUUAGUGGAGGAGUCGGACAUCGCGAACCUCCCCUAUCUCCGCUGCGUCUUCACCGAGACUCUCCGCCUCUACCCCGGAGGGCCCCUCCUCGUCCCCCACGAAUCUGCGACGGAGCUAACCAUCGCAAACUACACCGUGCCGCAAGGCACCAUGCUACUGGUCAAUGCCUACGCCAUCCACAGAGACCCCGCUGUAUGGCGCGAGCCUACGAAGUUUAAGCCGGAGAGGUUUGAAGCUGGGAGAGAAGAGAAGGGGUGGAUGAUUCCGUUCGGGAUGGGGCGGCGACGGUGCCCCGGGGAGGGCCUCGCCACGCGGGAGGCGUCGCUGUUGCUCGCGACGAUGAUACAGUGUUUCGAGUGGAAGAGAGUUGGGGAGGAGGAGGUGGACAUGACUGAAGGAAUGGGGCUGACUCUGCCCAAGGCAUUGCCUCUGGAAGCACUGGUUCGGCCGCGCCCGAACAUGAUCGAUUUACUUUCCAAGCUCUAAAUGCAUAUCAUGAGUUGCAUUUCACAAACGCAGGAAUAAAAGAAACUAUAUAUGAAAGCUAGUACAGCAGCACCAGACCACUGGCUUGUAUGCGUACGUUAAGGGGUGAUGAACUACUAUAGUACAUCUCUGGUAAUAGUAUGAUCGUUUAUGUAGUUUCCUAUGUAAACCUUUCAAAGUAUCUGCCUUUAUUCAAGUUCGUUUUUCCUUUGUUUGACGCCUCUUCGACUUUUUAUUUGCUUUGUCUUAAACAACUUCGUCACAACCUUGCUUCAAGAGGGAUUAGAUUAAUAUGACAAACAAAAAUCUUUUCAAACAUCAGUACCAUAUAAUCACAUUAAUUUGCCAGACGACAAUCUGCGGAGAAUCCGUUAAACAACAGCAUAACUUUUCAAUGAGAAAUGUAGGAAGCCUAUCAUUAAAUCUGAAAGCCUACAGCAUCAUAACAUCUCACUAUAUUUUGAAAUCCAUAACACAUACAGUGUUGUUAGAGAAACAUGCAGCAAUCUUAUCGCCUUCUUUGUUCCAGCACACUUCGAAGAUGCCGCCGCCGCCUCUGUAGGUCUUCAAUAUCCUCCCUUCUUUUACUGACCAUAUGUGCAGGCACUGAUCUAACGAUCCGCUUGCCAAGUACUCACCGUUGGGGCUAAACGCGACAGAAUAUACAGGUUGCCUGUAGUUGUAUUGUGCAACAGAGAAGUUACCGUAAGAAAUACAUGGGAGCACUACUAUGUACCUAUGCCUAGGGUCAAUUACAAAUUCAGCCACUGAUGUUUGAUCAUGACUCCAUGGUAGUUCCAUUUCUAACAAUUUGGUCCCUAAAGUUUAUCCCGUGCAAUGAUAAAGUUCUUUAAAUUAGUCUACCAUUGAGCAAACCGUAACUAUCGUGCUGGCAUGGCAUCUUUCUUCUGGCAGUAGAAUAAUAAAAGGACUAGAGUGUUUCACAGGACAAUUUGCAAUGACUAAAUCAUCAAAAUCGAUAUUCUAAGGACCGGAGUCACAAUUACCUGUGGCCGUUCAAGCUGUACAAAAGGCGCCCUUGAUCUACAUCCCAUAGCUUGAUAGUUGAGUCAAAGGAUGCACUAAACAUAAGUCAACAUCAUUAAUCAAUUAAAGCCGUGACAACAGAAUGCUCAGAAACUACUAACAUGAGAAAUACAUGUGUACAGAAAGUAGGAAAAUUCUUGCCUUGCCAACACUAGUUGGUGAUUAGGGUUGUUUGUUCCCUGGCCUGUGGGGCUCCAUUUGAUUGUAUAUAUUUCCUGGAAAAGAAAGUUGUUGAUCUAUUAGCAAGAUGGAUGCCUAUAAAGAGUAGGUGCUACUCAGAAAAGGAUUAGAACCUUGCUGUGAUCCUUGAAAUCAUACAAAAACUUGUCCUGCUUCGGACUCCAUAUCUGCCAAAAUUUAAUUAAGUUAUCAGAUCUGAUAUUGAAGUACAUAAUUAUACGAAAGAAAGUCAAGCCUAGAAUGAAAAGAGCCAGCUAUUAAGCAAUCUAAGGUGUACACUUCAUAUUACUAGCAACAAAGAAACAAUUAUCCCACAGACUGCUAUAAUGGGGUCAAUUUUUUAGAAGAUAUCUCAAAACCAGGAUCGAAUAAGCUAAAUAGGUCACACUAUAGUUAAUAGAUAGGUGCACUAACCCACCGAACAAACGAAGGGAUUUAUCAAACAAUCUCAAGAUGUAUGCUUACAAGCAAUAAAUGAUGAAAAGAAUCCAACAGAUUGCUAACAAUUUUUAGAAGAUAUCCCACAGCCGGGGUUCGAAAGGUCAAUAAGUUGACCUAAACUCCACUGCAUGCACCAAUCCGGAAAAAGUUCAGCUCAAUUAUUAAGGUGAAAAAAAAUAGUAAUGAAAAUUGCUAAUGCCAAUUAAGUAGAACUAUUUCUCAUAAACUUCUCCGUGCAGACAUGAUUAUGUACCUUUGCAGUCCCAUCAUCAGCGCAUGAAGCCAGCAAAGAACCAGUUGGAUCCCAUUUGAUAGCAUUAACUUCACCCUGAAAAAAAAUAUGAUGUGGAAAAAAGUUAACCUCAUAUGCAUAUUCGAUGAUGCUACACCAGUAAUUAACCAGCAGCUAUUUUUCAUCCUUCAUCUAUCAUGCACUAACACGCCAUGCUUUUUUAUAUCAUUUUAACUUGGAAUGACAUCAUAUCUAUUUGGUUCUCAGUGUGUGUAUGUAUGAGAGAGAGAGGGGUAGGAAUUUCAUCUUGUAAAAAAAAAGAAAAAGAAAAAAGAAAUCUAAUGACCAACCUAUUAACUACAGAUUGUGGAACUUCAUCCACAAGUAUACGAAGAAUCAUGUGUGGAAGUUUCAAUAAAUGCUUUGCAUGUCUUACUUCCAACAUGCGCUUCAACAUGAAAAGGAAAAAAUAGAGCAUCCCUUAGUUCAUUACAAAAUUUAUAUAGGUAAGACUACAAGGUUUGGUUCUUGUGUUGUAGAUUGAAAUGUAUUAAUGCGAGUGUCACAUUGAGACUAAACUUUUAAGGGAGCAACAUAGUUAUAGAGAUUCGUACAUCGUUUACCCAUUAGGCGGAGCAAUUCGAGACCAUUGGACGCCAAUAAUUGUUCAAAGAAUCAAAAUAUGACUAUCUCAGUUAAAUAGGAAAAGAAAACCUGAUGCCCAGAGAAUGCCUUGACUGGGCGAGACUCUCCAAUCUUGCAAACAUAGAUCAUGUUAUCAGUUGAGCAUGUUGCAAAAGAAUUAUUGUUUCUCCAAUCAACGUCAAGUGUUGGAGCUGGAAAAGUAAAAGGAUAAACGAAAUACUAGGUAAGACUUUGAAGCCUACAAGCAUAGUUAAGUAUAAUCUUAAUUUAUAGGUAAACGUAAUUCUAAGUAAAUCAACAAUAUCAGCACCUGAAUGAAACUCAAAUUGUUGUUUACACUCCCAUGUCUUCGUGUCCCACACAAUAGCAGUUUUGUCAACACUUCCACUAAGGAGGAAAUCACCCUUUUUGUUCCAUUUCAAAGAAAAUAUUGGUCCCUUAUGCUUGAUCAAAGUAUUCUUCAACUCCCCUGCUCAUGUUAUUGAACCAACACAAAGGAAAUACCAGUAGUAAUUACAAUGAAAGAUAUGCAAAAACCCAAAAUGAAAAUAAGUUACAUAAGUUAAUUGUGAAUUGAAAAAUAAUAGGCUGCAAGGAUUGGAGACAGAGUGAAUGGGGGAAAGUACAAAUCGUUGGAGCUAAAGAAGCUUUUCUGUCCAUUAGGCUAUUAUUGUCUCUUUAUCACUAAGUAACUGAGCGAUUGUCCUCCAGCUCCUGCUGAGUAUAGGGCUUCGGCUCUAUUAAUAACUCAUUAAUGUCAUAGAAUAUAUGCUUAUAAUCUCGUUCACAUUCAUUAAAACAGCUCAGAACCAUAAAAUAAGGACUAACCUAUUUUGUUUAGAAGAGAUGUUCGGGUCAUAUGACAAUAUAAAGUGACGAACCAUAAAGCAAUUUCUUCAACGGAAAAAUCAAAGCCUUACCAUCCUUACUCCAUAUUCUUGCAUGUCCAUCAUAUGAACCUGUAGCUAGUAAAGUACCUUCUCCCUGUAAUAGUUCCACAUAGGAAAAGAAUAUGAGAAAAAGGUUCCAAAUAGUACAAUGAGAGGAGAAAGAGAAACCAAUUGCAGAAUACAAAUUUGUGAAUAAGAAAGAUAAUAUAGAAGCAGAUUUGUUAUUUCAAGAGAAAAGGAAAUCACUGAGAGAGAGAGAGAGAGAGAGAGAGAGAGAGAGAGAGAGAGAGAGACUACAUUCCAAUCAAGUGUGGUGACAUCCUUGCUCUUCUCAUUAGUUCGCCCUUUAAAAUGUUUCAGAACAUGAGCAGUUGGGGGAAAUGCUUGCACACUAGAACCACAAGGACCAUCUGGAAUCGUCCAAAUUCUUGCCGUUGAAUCCCCAGACCUGCCCAAUCACAAAAUGACUCAAAUUGUUUCUUGUAACUGGAGCGAAUAUCUAAAACAUAUGCACAUGGAAGCAAAUUAGCAUUUCAAGUUGCAAAAUUUGUGCUUGAAGAUUCUGAGAGGACAGCUACAACAAGCUUAAUUGAAGCUCUUGGAGCUUGAUGUCUGAACUUGAAUAUGUCAACCAGUGGGGACAUUACUCUAUGUUCAUAAUAGUUUGCAAAUUAGAAUGAAAAGAGUAGGUAAAAAGAGGUCUAUUAGUGGAGCUUGCAAUAGAAGAAACUAAGUGCAACAUAUGAAACUUAGCAUGCGAUGCAAAAUGAACAAAGUAAAAAUGGAUAACAAGUUAACAACAUAAAUGACAAACCUAGUAUUAUAAGUAUGCUUUAGUCUAAUACCCACCCAGAUGCUAGAAGAGAACCUGCUGGGCUCCAAGCACACGCAAAUACCUAAAUGCAUAAAAAAUGGAAAUAUAUGAAAGCAGGAACAGUUAGAAUCUCAUAAUCAACAGGCAGUAUAUGACAUAAAGAAAUGUAAAAAAGUAUCAGACCUCAGAACAGUGGCCUUCCAAUAUAGUUACGUCAGAACUAGAUAUCUCACUAGUGACUGGGUGAGAGCUUGGGGCGGCAUCAGUUGGUUCAGGCCCUAUUAGACAAUCAAGGUGAAUGAGUGAAAUAUGUCCACCAGAUGACAGCGAUGAAACUAAAGAAAUUAGUACAUAACUAAUUAGCAAAGGUGAGACCGGGGCUAUGUGGCGAGGAUGUGCGCUUAGUUAGGUAAAGAUCACCUGGAGUAAGUCGAUUAGACUACAUCCAAGAAAACAGUAUAAAUUCAUUUACAUGCAACAUGUUGCACCACAUGCUUAGACAGUUAGAUGUUAACCCCUCUAGGUGUGCAGCAUGUGUUAACACAUGACCCUGGCUUAGCUUUCAGACCGAGGGCAUGACAAAGGAGCAUUUCGAGAUAUCGAACUAACGAGAUAUCACUCUCAACAAGGUCCAAUAUACGGAGAGCCUAACCAACAGAACUUCUCAAAUUAGCAUAUAACAUGGUACUUUAAUGACGUCAUCCAUAUGAAGGGAACUAAUUAACUACAUGUAAGUCCAACAAAAUAGAAAAACACAAUCUAUCAGGUAUAAUGAAAGCAUUGCAAAUAGUACAGGUACAGCAGCAGUAUACAGCAUGCGUAACAUUCACGCAUGUUCGACAUGUUUGAUCUCUAGAGAUUCAGCAAAAUAUACUGGAUCUUCCUUAAUGCUCCAAUGUCUGAAGGAAUUAAACAAUUAUAAAUCAACUAAAUAUAAUGAGUAUUCAGUACAUCACAAACUUUGAUCAAUUUGAAAGAAAAUGCAGAUAUAAAUAUGAGUAUAUUACAUAAAUGCUAUUAGAGGAUGGAACAGUAACGAGUAACAUUGUAAAAGAUUUGCUUGUGUUUUGAACUUUGACGAUUCCAGGCUUCCAUCAUAAGAAUGCUUGUAUUCUUACAGAAAAACAGAAAAAGGAAUAUGUUGUUUAUCUAAUAUAGGUAGCCUACAGGCAACAAAAAAGAGGAAAUAAGUUUUAAGUUUCUUGCAGGUCUCUUUACCUCCAGCUCCAUUUUCAUCAAGUCUGGCCUUAUCUUUGCGCUCACCAUGCUGCUUAUCCUUUUCUCUGUCCUUUUCUUGCUCUUUAUCCUUUUCCAUCUUUUCUUUAUCCCUCUCUUGAUCUCUAUCAUGUCUUUCCUUCUCCUUUUCACCUCCAAGAGUCCGUUCUCUAUCUUUUUCCUUGUCCUUAUCUUGCUCAUGCUGAUAUUUCUUCCUUUUCCUCUCCCUUAUAAUUUCUUGUAGCUCGUUCACAUCUUUUGUAAUAAGAUCCAGAGGUUGUAAGAGAGAAAAUUCCUCAUCGACAUCUAUAUCGCUCUGCCAAAACAAGAAGCAUAACGAAGGGGGAAAAAUGUUAUCUAACAAUAGACCAAGAAAACGAAUAAAUUAGAUGACAAGACUAUGACACAAAAAACUUACAUUGCUAACGUUAGCCUCUAACUCUAUAUAUUGAAGACCUUUUUGUACAAUGGUAAUAAGAGCACCAGGUGGAAUUAUAUUUCCAUCAAUAUUAGAUCUGUGAAUCCCUGCUUCAUAUCCUAAACAAAAUGCUGAGUGAGCAAAUCCUGCAAAUUUCACAUAACAAGCGUUAGCAUCACAGAUCCAACUAACUUUUCACUGUAUAAUUUGCUCUCAUUUUUUCUUGCUAACAAGACGAAAGGCCAAAGUAAAAGUAAUAGAACUACGUCGAGCAUUAAAUAGUUUAAAACAAGAGAGAACCAUCUGGGAAACUAAUUGAAAACAAUGACUAUUGACUAGCAACUUUAUGUUAUAGAAAGAGAGAAAAAAAAAAAGGUAUAAGGACCCCCUCAACUAUAGCUUAUUUUUAGAUAGACCCCUCACCUCUUUCUCUUAUGAUGCCUCCUAUGGCGUUUCUCUUAUGUUUGGCCAGUGCAAACAAAUUUUUCAGUUGCUGGAAUGGAACUAACAUUAUGGCAUUUUUGUUAUCUACUAAUAGUUGAUAGCUAAUGGAGCUAAUUGAAUUUGUAAAAGUAACUCAAAUCAAAGCAAGUCAAAGUUGAGAAGUCUCCAAGUUGCCCCAAAAAAUUCAAAUUUUCAAGCAAAGCAUCAAAUCUUGUUAUUUCAAAUAAAAAUACUCGAGCUACAGUGAUCAGAAACAUAAAAAACAACACAACAAACUCUUCUAAGCACAGUAAACAAAGGUUAAGAGCAGCUACAAAAGCAGUUCACUAACAAUCGAUCCAACUUCAAAAGUCGCUCUACAGCGUUAAACGAUCUAAAAUGUUUGCAGCUACCACGAAUUCAUGUGCCUAAAUUACAAAAAAUUAGGUCAAAAAAACCCUGGCAGAACCCAACGCGACGGAACAAAAAAUUAUACAGGUAACAAUUCUGAAGAACAACGCGAAUAAUCAGAAAAAAAAAAUCAAAUUUAACGACGGAACUUGGAGAUCGAGAUCGAGAUCGAGAGAGAGAGAGAAGAACCUGAUUCGUGGAGGUAUCGAAAGACGAGGUAAUUGAGCUCUACAGAGGUGAUUGUGGACUUCGACAUCGAAACCCUAGUGAUAGCACGAACAUAUAGAGAGAGAGAGAGAGAGAGAGAGAGAGAGAGAGGUUCCUCCCGGGGAAGAGGAUGAGAGAGAGAGGAGGCGCUUCUCUCUCUCCGGGAAUUGCUUCUUCGGGAGCAAACGGUUUGGGAGAACGAAGAGGAAAGCCCAGAAAAAUAAUAAAAUUAAAAACCUAUUACUUAUGAAAUGUAAAAUGGGCCGGGUCGAACCAUUAAUGGCCAUAUAAUUUUGAACCUAAAUGGGCCAAAGAGGCUCGGCCUAGUACCAAAUACAAAACGGCCUACUUUUUUUAAAAAUAUAUAUAUAUAUAUAUAUAUAUAUUGUUAUUACUUCUGUAUAAUGUUUAUUUAUUAAUGAAAAAAUAAAUUCUAGUUAAUGCUUCGAAACGUGUCAAACAUUUUUAAAAAAUUGAUUAUAUCUGAGAGAAAAAAAAUUAAAAUAUUUGUACCGCGUGGUUAGAUGCCGCUCAUUUUAUCAGAUGCUUUUAAUCUUUUUGUUAAAAUCAUAAAAUAUUUGUUAUAUAAAAACAAAUAAUUUAAAACUAUGGGUUUACUUUCUUAAUAGCCUAUAGAUGAGGAGCCUGUGUGCAUUUUCUCCUUCCUAUUAAAAAUAAUAAUAAUAAUAAAUAAUAAAUAAAAAAGAAAAAGUUCGAUCUCGUGCAACGUGUUCUGAGCAACAACAGCGUCGCCCUCUUCGCUCUUCGCGAAAUUUAUGAUUAAGCGCCAUAGGCGACCUCUCUCUCCGGGACCCUCUCUCUCUCUCUCUCUCUUUCUCUCUCUCUUCUCACUCUACAAUGAAGAGAGGUUCUCGAACGAUCCAAUAGAGAAAGGUAUAUACGUUUCCCCAAUUUUUUUAUUAGUUGUUCUCUCUCUCCAAUGCUCAAAUUCAUAGAUUUUGAUUAGGGUUUGCAUUGAAUCGAAGCAUUCGAAGCCUCCUUGUUGCGAUUUCGUUUCUUAGGUUAAAAGUAUUUUGAAUUGGGUGUAUAAUUGCGGAAUUAUUCUUUAUUUUAGUGCUUCUCGUGUACCUUUGCCUUUUCAUGAUCACAAUCUUUACAAUUGAUUUAUGAAGUACAGUGUUGUUGUGAUAGGGAGAUAGGGUUUUUUGCUUUUUUUCACGAUUUUCUCUGUAAAUUCAUCUUUAGAGUUAUUUGUUUUGUUUAUUGAACUUAGUAGUGGUUUUGCAUCAAGUACAUCGUCGUAGAUUCCGCCGAAGUACCUUCUCAUCAUAGAAAGUUUUUAUUUCGGAAUUGCUCUUUCCAAUUUUCCUGUAAUAUUGGGCAAAUUUUAGUAUUUUAAGAUAUUGAGGAAUCGAUUUGUUGUACAUAUAUGCACUCAAAAUGCACUUUCUGAUUCUAUUCUCGCUGUUGAGUAUUUAUUAGAUUUAAGGCAAAAGUUUUACUUUGUACGCGAGCUUGGCGAACGCGGUAAUCUAUGCUCGUGAAUUAGUUGUGUCUUACUGGAAAAGGCUGACUUACCAUAACCAAGGAUGCUGGCAUUAUAGGCAUAAGAUAUCUUUAUUGAAAUUAUUUUAAAUUUGUGUUCAUUAAUAGUUUUGUCAAACACAAUUCCUUGCUAUGUCGCGAGGAAACUAAAUGUUUAAGUUUUUGGUCUACUUGAAGUGAUAGCUUGGAACACUACACUUGAGUAUUGGUUGGUGCUAGUAAGAGUUUUCGGUAUAAAAGGCCGUAUACUUUUGCUUUCAGUUGAUUUUAGUUACUUAUUUAAGCUGCUACUGAGCUGGUUUAGGAAUGUAUUGGCGGUCCACUUUUGGUCUCUGACAUGGCGCGAUCGGGUCGAUAUAUGUUUAAACCUUUUUUUGGCAUUUUCUACAGGGUUUUUUCUUUUGCUUACAUAAACUUAUAAUUUUUCCUUUCUUCUUUCCAGGAUGUCGGAGCUUUCCGCAGCAGUGAAAGGAGAAUCCUGGCAUUCCGACCAUCAAAGAAUUGCAUUAUCUCCAUCCAACUUAUCUUCUGGCAAUCCUGUAAAUAUGGAAGUUGGAGAUGACGAUGAAGAGGAGGAUUUGGAUUUCAAUCCUUUUUUGAGGGAAGAAACUCCUUCAGAUGCCUCAUCAAGUCUGACUUCAGAAAAUGAAGGUGCAUCUGCUAGUGUUGAUAAAAUUAUGAGCUCUUCAGAUCAACAAGAUGUUAAUACAGCGUCUAGGCCAAUUGAUGAGACUCAACAUUGUAGUUUAAUUAUUGGAAAAGAGGAUGAGAAUACCCUGAUGCAUAAUAGGCUUGCAACAGACGAUGACUGUGGGAAAGAACCUGUUCAAGAAAACCAAGGGACAAAUUGUACACAGCAGGAGGAAAACUUAACUGUUUGUGGGAAAUCCCAGAAUCCAACGAUCAGCAUAGAUGAUGAGGAUGCCAUCUUUAAGCGCACACGGGCUCGCGUUUCUCUGGCAAAUUAUACACUCGAAGAAUUAGAGACCUUUCUCCAGGAAUCUGAUGAUGAUGGGGACCUACAAAAUAUUGAUGAAGAAGAGGAAUAUCGUAAGUUUCUUGCAGCUGUUCUACUGGAUGGAGGAGAUGACAAACACAAUGGACAGGGGGAUGAUAAUCUGGAUGAAGAUGAGAAUGAUGCUGACUUUGAAAUUGAAAUUGAGGAGGCAUUAGAAAGCGAUGCUGAUGAAAAUAUCGAAAAUGAGAAAUUAUUAGAUGACAAGCAAGAGGAAGAUUCCCGUAGGCCCGUGACUCGGCAGAAGAAACGGCUUAAGGAGUCAGCUGAAAGUAAGAAAUGCUUUCUGGGGCAACCAAAAUUGCCCUUGCGUCCUAUUCUGCCGUAUGUUGCUCAUGCCCAAGUAUCCCCUCUCCCUGCCUAUGGAUGGCAGUUUCCUUCUAAAAAUGGAGCUGAUUUGGCGAAUGGAUUCACAGCUCAGCAAAUAGGCCAGCUCUAUUGCUUAAUACAUGAGCAUGUUCAACUUUUAGUUCAAGUCUUCUCUGUUUGUGUUCUUGAUCCAUCACGACAGCCGGUUGCUGUUGAAGUUCAAAAGAUGAUCACAGAGAUGGUUUGUAGGCGCGAGGAAGCCUUGGUUUCGAACAAAGUUCCUUAUCCGAGGACUUGCUUUGAGACUCCAUAUCUUCGUUCAUCACUUGAUAAUGCUUCUAAUCAGAGUUCAGAAUUCUCCCACUGGAUGCCAUUAAUUGAUUGCCCUUUAUUUUCCAUUCUUGAUGUGGCACCACUAAGGCUGGCAAAUAGUUACACAACUGAUGUUACAGCUAGUAGGUGACUAUAUAUACGUUUAUAUUAAUUGCUUGCCAAUUUUGUGCAGGCUUCCAAAUUCUGAAGAAACAGACUUUACUUGAACUAUAGCGCAUUUUGAAAUGGGUACCUGCGGUUUUCAUUUUAGAAUGUUUCAUCGAAAUAUUUUAGAACUGAAUGGUUUUUGUUAGAAAUAUACACUCUUUUUCACUUCAGAAAUGCUGUUAAUUGCUGAUGGGAGGUUUAAAUCAAAAACAUUCUACAGCUUGGUAGUGAAUCACAAUUUUAAAGUUUAGAUACUCAUUUUAAAAUGUGCAAUAGUUCAUGUAAGUUUGUACACUUCUCCAAUUUUUUAUGACCGUAUUCCUUUUACCAAAUGAUUUUACAGCUGUUGUAAGGUAUAGGCAGAGUCAUUUGGACAAUGCAGCUGACAAAAGCCACUUGAAAAGAGAACCUCUUUUUCCUUUGCCUAUGAUCGACACCGGCAGGGAGAGUAAUAAUAAGCUUCUUGGAGGAUUUAAUACAAUGUCUACAGUUUCAUCACUUUCACCUGGUCAGCUGCAACCUAAAAAGUCAUUAGCUGCUACCCUUGUAGAAAGUACCAAGAAGCAAUCAGUUGCUAUCGUCCCUGUGGAUAUAGCCAGAUUAGCACAGAGGUUUUUUCCUCUGUUUAAUAUUGCGCUGUUUCCUCACAAACCUCCGUUGCCAGCAGUUGCAAACCGUGUGCUUUUCACUGAUGCGGAGGAUGGGUGCGUUCUUUCUCCUUUUCUACCGUUGACGUUCCAUGUUUAAUAAUUCGGUUACUUUUUUUUUUCCCCCUUUUUCUAUUCUUUGCAUUGUUUAUCUUACUUAUCUGUCUGUCUACUAUGUUUUGAGUUCUACUCAUUUGUCCAUGUUUCUUCCUGUUUAGAGCUCUUCUUUGGUUUGCUAAUUAAUCCUUGAACAUUGUAUGGAACUUAAUUAUAGCUGUUUUAGUUGAAGCUGUUGGAAUCCUCACUUAUUUUAAGAGUCUCAACCAAGUCCUUGCCAUCAACUGGAUUUUUUUAACUGAUGUGAUCAAUUUGUCUGACAUGUAAGAUACACGUGCAUCCGCUCAAGCACCUACAUACCUAAUGCAAAAUUCCUCAGGCUAGUAAAAAUUGGAUCUAGAAUUAUUAGCACUUUGUUGAUACAUAAUAAUCUUCUUUAGAUCUAGAAUUGUUAGCUCUUUGAUUUCUUUCUGAUUCCUCUUUCAUGGAUUACACCGCCUUAUGAUUCACGAUUUGAUGUUAUCACUCUUACUUAGCCAGGAUUCGGUUACUGUUUUAUUUUCUUAAUUUUUGAGAUUCUUGCAGAUUACUAGCAAUGGGACUGAUGGAGUAUAAUAAUGAUUGGGGUGCGAUACAGAAGCACUUUCUUCCUUGUAAGUCGAAACAUCAGGUAAUAUCUGUAAUUAUUUUGAUACUUUUGUGAAUGUCUACAUGACAUGAACUUGCCUGCUUUCUGACCAAAAUGUGUCGUUGUGUUUAUAAAUUCCAAAUACAUAGUUUUUAUUUGCUAAUUUUGAUAUGGAAACUUUUUAAUAAGGCAUUUUAACCUUUCUUUAUGAUGAUUUGACAACAUGGUCUUUCUUUGAUGCAGAUUUUCGUCAGACAGAAAAACCGCAGCUCUUCUAAAGCUCCUGAGAAUCCAAUUAAGGUAAGCAUUCGAGUGAAUGACUAAAAUAUGUAUUUCCGUGUGCUCUUUCCAUCACAUGCUUAUAUAUGAUAAAAUUUGGUGGAAGUAUGCAUAUGAAAACAAAAGUUUGACUUCAGUGCUCAAUUGUGCAUUGAGAAUUUUUUGAAAUCCAUCAAGUUUUAAAUUCUGCUUCUCAUUUUAAGUUUUCAAUUGUUGGCUUGUUUUAAAGGCUUAUUUAUUUGUCAACUCAUCCAGGCUGUGCGACGUAUGAAGACCUCUCCGUUGACAAUAGAUGAAAAGGCACGGAUCUACGAGGUGAGUUGAUUGAAAAUCAUUAAUAGAACUGAUAUGGGCUAUAACUUAUUUAAGUCAUAAUCCCAUCAUACUCGUGUUUGAAGCCAGGGACUUAAAUUAUUCAAACAUGAUUGGAUAUCUGUUUGGAAAUUUUUUGUCCCACAUCGAGAUCCGUCACUAUUGCCACGCCAGUGGAGAAUUGCUACUGGAACCCAGAAGUCCUACUGUAAAAGUGAAGCUGUUAAAGAAAAGAGGCGAUUAUAUGAAGCAAAAAGAAGAAAAAUGAAAGCUUUAACGGCUGAUACAGAAACAAUACCUGGAAACGAGGUUAGUUAACAUAAUCAACUUUAAACAUUAUAUUUGCAUUAAAAUCCCUGGAAAAUUAUUUUUAUAUAUAUAUAUGUAUGUAUACCCCUGCAAAGUCUAAAUUAUUAUGUAUACCCAUUAAAAACUUAAUUUCUUUUGCAUAUGCCUUUGUAUUACAAAAGUACCCCUCUUUAGGCAAACUUACUCUGAUACAAAACCAAUUUACCAACAUAAAUUGUACACCUAAGCGUCCUAUUAAUUUGGUGGAUGAAUGACUACCAGGUUGACAAUGGAGGACCUAACAGUUCGGAUGAAAUGGAUAAUGAAAACGAAGCUUAUGUUCAUGAAGCAUUUUUAGCAGACUCGAGCAUUGGUAGGAAUGACACACAGUCUGUUCAGUUGAUACAGCAUGAGGGGGCUUACAUUGGUCAAAAAUCCUCCACUAAUACAGAUGAAUCUGAUGAUCUACAUCAAGUAGGUGGAACAAAGCUUGAUCUUCCAACAUCCUCAAAGACUUUUGAAAACACGAAUGAUUUUUCCAAGCAGACUGGUGUAUACUCUGUUUCACCUAUGAACUUAUUUUCUGGGUCAAAGUCAAAGUCCAUAGGGAAAAAUAUGUUGGUCUCAGUGCCUCAAGCACGCAAAAAUAAAGGGGCCCGGGUAGUGAAGUUGGCUCCCGACUUGCCACCUGUAAACCUCCCCCCCUCUGUUCGUGUGAUAUCCCGCUCAGCUUUUCAUGGCUUUCGUGGUGGAUCAUUAUUUUCUAACAUCAGUUCUAAUGCAACGAAAGAUGUUGUUUCUACGAGCUCUCAGGCCAUUACAAAAUAUAUUAAUACAGAAAAUCCAGGAAAACAGUUGAAUCUAUGCUCUGAUGGGGGUCCCCAUACAAAUAUGGCUGAAGAAAAUCCUGUUGAGUCUGAUUUCCAGAUGCAUCCUCUACUAUUCCAGUGUCCUGAAGAUCAAUCAUCAUAUUACCAUCAAGUGAGCAGAUACAGUUUUCUCUCUCAGAAUAGCGGUCAGGUUGAUCCCGUAGUGGGAGUAAAAGAUAACAUCAACAUUAUUUCGUACUCGAGAGAAGCUCCUGCAGAGGUGCAUACUAUCGACUUCCACCCUCUACUGCAAAGAAGUACUGGUGCAACUUUGUCGACCAGAAUUAGAGGUUCUGAGAACAUAGUAUCAGAUGUAGAGUGCCAUCAAUUCCUCGACCAAUCUGACUGUAACUUGAGAGAAUCUGUAAGCCACAGUGAGAAGGAAAACAAUCUUGACUUGGAUUUCCGCUUAUAUUCUGCAACAGAUAAUGAAAACUUAAAAUUUGCUAGCAGAGAUUCACUUGAGCAUGUCGAGUCAAGGACUUCUUAUUUGAAGCAUAGUGGUCUUUCAAAUUCGAGCAGAGUUUUUGCCCAGUCACAAGAGUGCGAGGUGGAAAAUGUUCAUCUUAUUGGACCUGAACCUACUAGAAUGAAUAAUUAUGCUCGCCAAUCCUUGGAAGAGCGUAAUGAGGAGUCUUUGCCAGGUAUUGUAAUGGAACAGGAGGAAUUGAGUGAUUCGGAUGAAGCGAGUGAACAUGUGGAGUUUGAACGUGAGGAAAUGGACGAUUCAGAGGAAGAUGCACAACCUUCUCAAACCCACAAUUUUGUCACCACUUUACUGAAAAGAAUGCUGCCUCUAUGAAUUUAUAUUGGCUUCUUUUUACCCAGCAAUUCUAUCUUCUCAAGAUACUGCUCACACUUCUGUAUUCUUCUGCAUAAUUUAAGUUACCAGGAUUCCGACUAACUUAAAAUGUUUCUUGUUCCAUUAUUUUUUUCCCCUACAUAAUGCAUCAGAAUUCGAAAGUUAGACGGCUCGCAAGGUUUAGAAAUAUCAAAAUUUUAGAAACUUGGAUUUUGGUAGUUCUAUUUGUUACCUUAAAUCCUUUUUUUUGGUCAGGAUAUUCAAACCUUUGUUUCUCUGGGGGAACACCAAGCCAUUGAUGAACAUAGUCAAGUGCAUCGGCCAAGAUCAAUCAUCCAACAAGGACCAGCCCAAGAGAGCAAACUCUGUUCAAGCUCAUCACAGGCGCGACAAGAUCCAUGUCAUGCUAAUGUUCCCCAAUUAAAGCCAAAGAAAGACUCUGGCAAAAAGGACACGUUGCGCAAAACUCAUCUUGGUGCAGCUCAUGCACGUCCUCAUCAAUCGAGCAAGGCGCGACCAAAAAGCUCGAGAGCCUGCCCAAUUGAACCGCGGCGGCUGCAUUUGCAAACGGAUACCGAAUGCAUGAAUGCUAAUCCCAGAAAACCGAGAAAACGGUCAGCUCCAAAUUAAUUCAGUGCUAACCUUUUUUUUCUUUUUCUCUUUCUCUCUUGCUCUGUAUAUCUUUGAGACUAAAAGAUCCAGUGGUGCUUUUUAGCCGGUUUAGUUAUUCGGGAACAACCAUCAAAAAAUAAUAAUAAUAACAAGUUAACAACGGAAAAAAGAAAAGGCACUGAUAACCAAAUUAGCAUUUGACACCCUAGGCUUAGCUACUAACUGUAACUUCUUAGACAACUUCCUCGUAGGAAUAUAUUUAGAUUAGAACCUGUGAGGAAAGCGAGUGAGGCGGUUCUCUGCUUCAGAUAUUGGUGGAUGUACCUUGUAAUUUGUUAAUGAUGUAUUGUAUACACCACACUUGUAAAUGUUUGAGGUCUUUCUCCAUGUGCAGAAAUGAUACUAAGGAGCUUUUAGAUUCGUUGCAAGUGAUUUAUUAUCAUCAAAUUGAAAAGUAAAAACUUCCGUAAUCGAAUUCUAUGAGCCUAGGUGGUAAAUUUGGUAGAAAGAUGAAUAUGCCCUUCAUUUGUUCUUAAGGAAAAAAAGAAAAAAGAAAAAAAAACCACCAGCACCAAAGGAACAAAAUUGAACGAACUGACAAUUCUCCAAAUCGAUUAAACUAAUAAAUAACCACGUAUAGCACAAUAGUCACACAUACGAGGCAGAUUCAAUGCAAACAUACAUAUUGACCAAAUUAUAAACACAUCGCUCAUCAAACAGCCAUUAGUUUCCACUUAACAAAUGGGUAGGGAUACUCUAAACACCCUGUGCACUCGGUAUCCUGAAGAGAGGUGCAACCCUUCACACGAUGAGCCCCCAUAACUAUGGCUAGCUCCAUCUACUUCCUUCUUUGAUAUAUCUGUAUUUUAAACUGAAUAAGUAUAUGAGACGAUUCAAAAUAAUUGAUAUCCCUCUAUUUAAAGGAAAAUAAUAUAUGCAAACAAAUGCAAGCAUAAAAAAUAAAAAUAAAGGAAGCACAUUUAGUAUGCGAAUGUAAAUAAGAAUUAUCACCCAAUGUAAACUAGUCAAAUAAUUGAUGAGUAUAAAAGUCCUGUUCAUGUGUUUUUAUCAGCUAGAUAUUUACCUUCCUCGGCCUUCGGACGAGGAACUGAAGAUGAACUGUAACUAAGCUCGUGAUGAAGUUCAGGAGAUAAGAUAGAAACCUUUGGAAUGGAUUAGCGUGAGAUCUCCAGCCUUUGGUUCUUUUGCAUGAUAAUAGGGAGCUUAUGAACAAUGAGGUUGGGAUCUCCAUAGGCUGCAGAAUCAGAAGGAAUGCCUUGCUGCACGACGCAGCAAGAUUUGAAAAAAGCAAUUCAACUUACAUUUUCUUAGUUGCAAGAAGAACAGAAAAUUCUAAAUCAAAGCAUAACUUUUUUUUGAGAGAGAAAGAAAGGUAGCAUGCUAACUGCUUCGUUUAUUUCAUUUUUAGAAAUAAAUUUAGCUAGAAAUGUGAAGCAACUAGGCUUCGAACCUGAGACCUCAAGUACCAACCAUCACUCUCAUUACCAUUUGCGCUAGGGACAGUCGGUAAUCAAAGCAUAACAUUAUCGUAGAACAAGGUCAGGUAGGAUUUCUAGCACACUAACUGUAGUAUGAAAGAGCAAAUAGACUUACAGCAGACAAACUUUGGAUAGUUGCUUCUCUCCAGCAGCUUUCCCGCAGAACUACAGGUUCAGCAUUGCCAUUACUACCAAAAGCACAAUAAACUCGAGUAUCCCUCAACCUCAUUAGCACUCCAUCAACUCUAAGCUGUUAAAAUAACACAUUCAGUAGCUAAAAAAUAAUACUAUGAACAGCAUAACUAUUCCAAUAAGUACAACUAACAUUAUAGAAAAUUAACAUGAUAAUUAAUCAUGAUAAUCCAAGUCUUUUUCCAUCAAAACUCACUCAGAAUCUAGGCAUUCCGUUAUCGAAUGCAUACUUCAUAUAUUCAAUAACGGAAUCUAAAUAAAAAUGUAAGGGACACUUUUGAGCCAAGGUAUUUAAACAUUACCCAGUAACGUAAUAGAAGAAACCAACAGCUUGGCAUCACUCUCUGCAGACAUACAAUAAAAGACUCUGUAAAACUUCAAAAGUCUAAAUACUCUUGCCUAUUCAAGGCCAACUUUGUUAACUAGACAAGCAAAAAGUACUUACCACUUUCACCGUUAGUAACGAUACCCCAUUGUCAGCCAACUCAUCUUCGUACAAAACAACCUAGAUAAUUAGGUUAAACUCUAAUUAGACGUGGCAACUACAUCUAUCACCCUAUUAGCUAUUAUAUCAAACUAAUCAACCUCAUCAUAAAAAAGAAUUGGUUCUCUUGACGACAGUGCAGCCAGAUCAAUUCGCUCAUCCGUGUCCUGCCAAUGCAAACCCUUCUGCAUUGCAAUGGUAUUCAGAAGUUAGUGUGGUUAUCUCGUAAUAGAUAUAUACCAAGCUAGAUGAACCUAAACAAAUAUAAGCAUGUAAAAAGUAAAACCAAUGUUACAAUAACAAGUCAGCUGAAUGUUGUGCAUAACUAUUUAUCUUUGCUUAAUAUUUGUGUGCUUGUGGUGAGCAAACUAGAAAUGUUUCAGGUUGAGGUGUUCUAGAAAAAUUGGAACGUUGGGAAGUAAAUACGAAGUGUCUGAAGAGGGUGCCAAUGGGAAAUGUAACGACUUUUCUUCAUUUCAUCAGAGCAAGUCACACUAGGAAAGAUAAAGUCCCACAAAAAAUUUAAUCUGAGUGGAAAGAUACAAGAUGUUGAGACUCCAAACUACAUCAAAACAUCCAGUGCAGAUUGAUUUAGCAGCUUUUACUUGCCGCCGCUAAAAUAACAUACUCAAAGAGGCAAAAGUAACAAAUAUAACAAACAAAAAUAAAAUAAGAAGCUUAUAUCUAAUAUUUAAUAAAUAAGUUCUGUAGCUAUAAAGACAAAUAAACACCUUUUCAUAGUUCGGUUCUAUCAUCUCACUGCCGCAAUAUGGUGUUGUGAAUGUAUAGUCAUAAUCAAGUAUCACUUGCUCAGAAGGUUUACUGCAAGACAACAACAAUAAGUAAAGAGCAAAAACAAGACAAUUUAAACCCCUUUAACAGAAGAAUCACCCAGGUAAAUAUAAAAAAAUAAAAAAUAAAAAAAAAGAAGAAGAUUCAAAGAAGUGUUUUGUCUUUUUGGAUCUCAUAAUUAGUGUUGUUACUGCUGCCUCUUAGAUCUAUGUAGAAUAACAAAAAUGUCAUGCAGAGUCAAAUUAAAAUAAAACACGUAAAGUAUCUUUAACAUCUUAGUUCUUCCUAAUAUACAAAGAACAUAAGUUAAAUGAACCUUCUAAAUUUCCAUUUUGCAGCAGCAGGGACUUCAACAGGUGGUAACGACUCCUGCUUCCAUCCCCUGAGAGCAUCUAAUGCAUUGAAAUGUAACUUAAUACCAGAGCUUAUAUGUAAAAGAGACAGAGAACUCUCUCCGAAAACCAUCUCAGGCAUAUGUGACGUUCCAAGCUUUUCUUCCCACCUGAAGAAACACCGCAAGAAAUAACCAAUCGUAAUGACGAAUAAGUAGUAUCUCAACUUUAGCUUCAAAAAUACCAAUGUACAAAUUUUCUCUUUCAUUUGCAAUCUCAUCGAAGACUCGAACAAAACUGCUACUCUUGGACAAAUAAAAGACCAAAGCCGCCUUUCGGGAAUAAUCCGUGCCUUAACUGCUAUCAUAUCUUAUCCUAAUUGUACAAGUAAUCAACUAAAAACAAAACUCACUUGUAUAUUACGAUCAAAUUAACUUAAAUCAUCUUCCACCGCACAACAUUUCCCUUCUACUUGCUCUCGCAAGCGAAUCACACUACCAAAAUUCCCAUAAGCUGUUCAUAAAUUUCUAAUAAGAAUUACUUCAACGCACAGUUGCUUCCGUCGCCGCAUAAACUUUAACUAUCUCCUUAACACGUAUUUCUUAAUCACCGAAUAAUUACGGCUUCGAUUGCGCGCAAAUUCUCCUGUAAGCAACCCUAAAACCAUUUACACUCGCUAGGGCAACCACUUCACGGAUCCGAUCGUUUCGAUGAAAAUUACAAAGAGCGGAGAUCAAGCAGCUAGGGUUUCGCAGAUCAAACCACACACAAAAAAAGGAGAGAGAGAGAGAGAGAGAGAGAGAGAGGGAUCGGAGGGUUGCGUACUCGCGUAUGGCGAGGGAGUUGAGGAUGGGGCGCUUGCGCGACUCGACGCACCAACCCUUGAGCACGAGACCGUUGCGGGCGUGGGGGAGCGGCUCCGCCCCCGCCGCUUUGAGAUCGCUCGCCUCCGCUCUGCCCCNACGAUCCACGUAUAAUUCUAACAAUCUCGUUUUUUUUUUAUUUUCCAUCUAAUAAUUUUAGAUUUUUCUAUUUUUCAUAUAAUCUACAUAUAAUUCUAGUAAAGAAGCAUAUUUCUUUUUUUUUUUUUCUUCUCUCUCUUUAUUUGGGAGUAAGAGUUGGUUUAGGCUUAGUUUGGUAUUGAUGUCAAUCUAAUACUGUCCGAUAGAAUGGAGUUCAAAAAAAAUAUAUAGAAAUAUGCUUCUGUUACGAUGGGACCGCAGAAAAUAUAUCAUAACCAACGCAAUAUGCGGAAUGCAAUAUUACAUACGAAAACAAACAAUAUAUUUUUCCAUCAUCGCCCAUCGUUGUUUAUCACCGCAAGUAACGCAAUUUUUUCGCAAUUCUAAACGAAACCUUAUGAAUCUUAUAAAUUCGUGAUCAAAGGAUCGGGUCUAAAUUUGGUUUAGUUUAAAUUUAAUCUAACCUGAAGAGUUUACUUUAGGACAUAUUUCAAAACAAAACACCGAAAGUAGUACUUUUACAAGGUGAAAUUUUAGUGAUUAUUUGAUUUGAUUUGCAAGACAAAUAUAAAAAUUAUUUUAUAAAAAUAGAUUAAAUAAAUAAAUUAUAAAUAAAUCUUAAUUAUUUUGACUUUGUGACCAAAAUAUUUAACAUACCACAUCAAAUUUACGAGGAUGGAAACCUGGGGAUGGGCGCUCGCAAUAGACGUACAGAUGGAUAGGACCAAGGGAAUAUGACUUUGAACUAAUUCGAUUUGAAGUCUAGUUUGGCGGAUUAGGUUCGAUUGGAGUAAGUUCUAUGCAAUCAUCUUCCAUCUACAUCAAAACAAACAACCAAACAGUAUCACUUUAUCCAUGCUCCAACUGUAUCUUAUCAUUUAACCAAUCCAAACACCCUCACUCGAAUACCUUUAUACAAAAUCUCUAUGUAUGUUAUAAUAUGACUUGCGUUGAAGUGUUUAUUACUUUGUCGUUGAUAAGAUGAGCAGACCACAACUCUUAAACAAAUAGCGUGUUUUGAGAUUAUGAAAAUGCCAUUCGAACAGUUUAAUGGUUCAUUGAGCCUCGUGUAUUUUUAACCCUUUUUCUUUUAUCGGACUCUCCAAUAACUUUGCCAUCAAUAUUUUUAUUACACGCAUUGAAACACUAGAUAGGAAGAAGAGCUCGCCCUUCCGAAGUGUGAUGAGAGGAGUUUGUGAGGUACCACCCGCGGCUGAAGAGGUUGAAUCACGACCAGGAGAGAGAGAGAAGAUGGAAAAAUAUGCGAAAUGUAAAUGUCAUAUUUGAUAAAGGGGGUGCGAAUGUUCUUAGCUUCCGGUUCUCAUUCCAUUAUGUUUGAGAUCGCUUCCAUGAUGAUUGAUUAUGGACUUGUGUUAUUUGUUGCAGGUAAGCUCGAACUAGUAAUAUAUUUGGAGGUUGGGGCAAAUGCUACACUAGUAAGUUCUCGGGUUCAUUUGACAUACUUGAAUUUCAAAAUUUAUUGUUGAAGGCGAUACAUUUAAUCGAAUCAGUGUGGCGAAAGAUGAACCGUCCAUGAAGUUUGAGUAGCAUCACACCGAGCAUUAGAUGUGCUAGUUAGGGAUUUCAUAAAGUUCAAUUUUUUGUUAAAUUAGCUUCGUUUGAUUCGGAUAUAAAUAAGAACUGUUUAUUUCGGAAAUAUGUAUAAGUUAAAUAUGAAAUAGAUCAAUUUUACGUUUAGAUAAAAAUUGAGUUGUUUUCAUAAAUAAAAUAAAUAACGCUUUGAUAGAUAAGAUGAAAUAAGAAGAAUAGUUAAUAGUUAUAAAUAGAAAAUAAUGAUAUUACUCUGAUAUUAUAUUCGAAUUUUAAAUUUUUAAAUUUUAUAUUUGAAUUUUUAAAAUUAAAUAUAUAACUUUUAAAAUUAAAAAAUUCAGAAAUAAAUUUUAAAUUUUAAAUCUCAAAUUUCAAAAUUUAAAGUUCUAAAUUUUAAAUUUAAGAUUAAAUUUAAAUUUUAAAAAAAUCUAAAAUAUCAAAAUUUAAAUUUAAUAAAUUUAAAAUAUUAAUUUUUAAUUUAAAAUUUAAAAUUUAAAAUUUAAAAUUUAAAAUUUAUAAAAUUUAAUUUUAAAAUUACAAAUUACAAAAAUUUUUUAAAAUUAAAUUUAAAUUAUUUUUAAAAUUAA
RNAcentral lists this long non-coding RNA (28840 nucleotides) under Ananas comosus (pineapple). RNAcentral describes it as "long non-coding RNA (ACOM_LNC014367)". Lineage: Eukaryota; Viridiplantae; Streptophyta; Magnoliopsida; Poales; Bromeliaceae. The record is from RNAcentral.